CAGUCGCCACGGGAAUACGAUGGGUGCAAGCGUUGAUCGGAAUUACUGGGCGUAAAGCGUGCGUAGGCGGUGAGUUAAGUCUGCUGUGAAAUCCCCGGGCUCAACCUGGGAAUGGCAGUGGAUACUGGCUCGCUAGAGUGUGUCAGAGGAUGGUGGAAUUCCCGGUGUAGCGGUGAAAUGCGUAGAGAUCGGGAGGAACAUCAGUGGCGAAGGCGGCCAUCUGGGACAACACUGACGCUGAGGCACGAAAGCGUGGGGAGCAAACAGGAUUAGAUACCCGCGUAGUCCCUGUCUCUUAUAC
RNAcentral lists this ribosomal RNA (301 nucleotides) under uncultured bacterium. RNAcentral describes it as "partial 16S ribosomal RNA". It matches the Rfam family "Bacterial small subunit ribosomal RNA", at positions 509 to 807 of the family's 1533-position model. The record is from RNAcentral.